AUUGAACGCUGGCGGAAUGCUUUACACAUGCAAGUCGAACGGCAGCUCGGGGGCAACCCUGGUGGCGAGUGGCGAACGGGUGAGUAAUACAUCGGAACGUGCCCAGUCGUGGGGGAUAACGUAGCGAAAGUUACGCUAAUACCGCAUACGAUCUACGGAUGAAAGCGGGGGACCGUAAGGCCUCGCGCUAUUGGAGCGGCCGAUGUCAGAUUAGGUAGUUGGUGAGGUAAAGGCUGACCAAGCCGACGAUCUGUAGCUGGUCUGAGAGGACGACCGGCCACACUGGGACUGAGACACGGCCCAGACUCCUACGGGAGGCAGCAGUGGGGAAUUUUGGACAAUGGGCGCAAGCCUGAUCCAGCCAUUCCGCGUGCAGGACGAAGGCCUUCGGGUUGUAAACUGCUUUUGUACGGAACGAAAAGGCUCUGGUUAAUACCUGGGGCUCAUGACGGUACCGUAAGAAUAAGCACCGGCUAACUACGUGCCAGCCGCCGCGGUAA
Molecule: ribosomal RNA, 500 nt
Filed under: uncultured bacterium
Lineage: Bacteria
Description: partial 16S ribosomal RNA
Rfam family: Bacterial small subunit ribosomal RNA
Source: RNAcentral